Homo sapiens (human) is the source of this 147-nucleotide non-coding RNA. It matches the Rfam family "Metazoan signal recognition particle RNA". Rfam says of the family: The signal recognition particle (SRP) is a universally conserved ribonucleoprotein. It is involved in the co-translational targeting of proteins to membranes. NCBI's taxonomy places the organism in Eukaryota, Metazoa, Chordata, Mammalia, Primates, Hominidae. The record is from Rfam.
GCCAGGCAUGGUGGCGCAUGCCUGUAGUCCCAGCUACUCAGGAGGCUGAGGUGGAAGAAUCGCUUGAACCCGGGAAGCAGAGGUGCAGUGAGCCGAGAUGCCGCCACUGCACUCCAGCCUGGGUGACACAGCAAGACUCAGUCUCAA